UUGGUGAGUUGGUCGUGCCCUUCAAUCCACAGAUGAAGCCCACCUGUGAUGCCACUGGCAUUCAGGCUCUGAAGAUGUUUCGGACGUAAAAAAAACGGGCCUUUAGUCCCCAUUUUUCAACCGGGACAAAAUAAUUGGAACAAAAGGUUAAAAAAUUUAGUUCCGGUUGUGUUACGAACAGGAACUAAAGGCCAUUCACGUGGCUGCUGGGGCUGGAGGACUUUUAGUUUUGGUUCUGUUAUCAACCGAGACAAAAUAAAAAAUUUGAAAAAAAAAUAAAAAAUUUGAUUUUUUUUAUAUUUUUUUGAUUUACAAAUCUUUGAAUUAUUUAACAAUUUAAUCUCUAAUCACCCCUACUCAUUACUUCAGCUUGGAGCACUCAUUUCAAAUCGUCUAAUUUCCCGAUCAGUCACUCAUCCUCUCACUCCUCCAGCCCAAACACGCUUAACUUUGGAGUUCUAUCUUGACUAUUUUUCAAGUCUGCACUUGUUGUUUUAUUAACAGUAAGCUAUCAAUCCUAUUAACCCUUACGUCUUGAUGUCACAUGAUUUAAAUUUUUUAAUUCCAGGCAAUUAUUAAAAUAAACAACAAUGAUUAACAAACAACAAUAAUUAAUUAUAAAACUCAACAAAACUGCAAAAAGGCCAAAAAUUAAAAAGAAC
RNAcentral lists this long non-coding RNA (662 nucleotides) under Hordeum vulgare. RNAcentral describes it as "long non-coding RNA (HVUL_LNC010942)". Lineage: Eukaryota; Viridiplantae; Streptophyta; Magnoliopsida; Poales; Poaceae. The record is from RNAcentral.